Molecule: ribosomal RNA, 460 nt
Filed under: uncultured bacterium
Lineage: Bacteria
Description: partial 16S ribosomal RNA
Rfam family: Bacterial small subunit ribosomal RNA
Source: RNAcentral
CCUACGGGAGGCAGCAGUGAGGAAUAUUGGUCAAUGGACGAGAGUCUGAACCAGCCAAGUAGCGUGAAGGAUGACUGCCCUAUGGGUUGUAAACUUCUUUUAUAUGGGAAUAAAGUGUUCCACGUGUGGGCUUUUGUAUGUACCAUAUGAAUAAGCAUCGGCUAACUCCGUGCCAGCAGCCGCGGUAAUACGGAGGAUCCGAGCGUUAUCCGGAUUUAUUGGGUUUAAAGGGAGCGUAGGUGGAUUGUUAAGUCAGUUGUGAAAGUUUGCGGCUCAACCGUAAAAUUGCAGUUGAAACUGGCAGUCUUGAGUACAGUAGAGGUGGGCGGAAUUCGUGGUGUAGCGGUGAAAUGCUUAGAUAUCACGAAGAACUCCGAUUGCGAAGGCAGCUCACUGGACUGCAACUGACACUGAGGCUCGAAAGUGUGGGUAUCAAACAGGAUUAGAUACCCCUGUAGUC